UGGUUCUGGGGGCUCCUUCAGUAAGAAUUGUCAGCAAGAACAGGAGUGCAACUUCAACAAAAACCCAAUAGGUUUUGAUAAUGACCACGUGCAACUCAAGGCGGACGUUUUAUUUCAUAAUCUGCAAGACAGAGAGCAAGAUCACCAAGUUAGUUUUACGCAACAAGACUUGAUUGGGUCAUUCUCCCUUUUAAAUAUUUUCACAUGUACAAGGAAGUACGUGCACUCCUCGACUUUCUUUGUAGCAUUUAUUUUUAUCAUUACUUUAGCAUCAUCAUUUGUAAUAUCAGUAUGUUAUAAACUCUGAUUAUUUGGUCAUUUCAAGCUCUUAUUUUUACAUGCUUGUUACGAAAGGGGCUGGUGUUAUAUUAGCUAAAAGGAGAUAAGGAAAAACAAACGAUGUGAUGCUAGACCAAGGAAGCGGUAAUGUAGGGUUAACUAAUUAAGACGACUUAACCGCUUGAAUAUAUCCUGUAACAACCCAAUUCUUCACUGCAUUAAUAAGAACUAGACACCACUACAACUUUGAAACAGUAAUAGAAACACUCACUCCACUUAAUUACAAUGGAAAAUACAGAAUAACAAGUAAUUAGGGACAGCAAGAAUGAGGAUGAGGGCUUACACUAAGAGAAUGGAGAUGAGGUAUCAGACUCUUUACUCAACAAUAUGUAUGCCUUUCUUUGCCCCAAACUCUGCUAUUCUUUGCAUCUCACAUGCUUUACAUGGGAAAAUAGGUUCGUAACAACCUUUCAGUAGAAGCAUAAAAAGCAAGAGACUAAAUACGAUAAUAGCUAAUUAUAAUCAUAUACAACGACAAAGAUACCCAGUAUACUCCCACAAAGUGGGGUCUGACAAAUGCUUUCAUUGAGAGACGAACUCAAGACCUCCUGCUUACUAAACGGGUGCUCUAACCAACUUAGCUAUGAAAGCUGUUAAGUAUUUAGUGGGAAUAGAUCCUAAGACCUUUAGGAAAAUAACUCAACUGCUAUUAUAAUCAUAUCUAUAAUUGAAAAAGUAACAACUAUAACUUCAAAUAAUAGUGAAAAUUGUUGGAGGUAUGUAGAGAGUAACAUGGAGCUAAACAGCAUCUCAGUUAUUUCUCAAGCGAACUAACUUGAUACUUACAUGGAUUCACGAAACUGAAGAAGCAUAAGAUAUUUUACCUAUAGUAUGAGAUAUGAAGAAAAUUUAGGUCUCUCCAAUGCCACACUCGAUAGUAGCUGAAGAAGCUGCUUUUCGACAUCAUAAGAAUGUGAUGCCAAUCAGAUAUACACCCCCCAC
This 1281-nucleotide long non-coding RNA is filed under the name Capsicum annuum. Its description in RNAcentral is "long non-coding RNA (CANN_LNC009342)". Lineage: Eukaryota; Viridiplantae; Streptophyta; Magnoliopsida; Solanales; Solanaceae. The record is from RNAcentral.